Molecule: ribosomal RNA, 347 nt
Filed under: Acinetobacter baumannii
Lineage: Bacteria; Pseudomonadati; Pseudomonadota; Gammaproteobacteria; Moraxellales; Moraxellaceae
Description: partial 23S ribosomal RNA
Rfam family: Bacterial large subunit ribosomal RNA
Source: RNAcentral
GAACCAGUACCGUGAGGGAAAGGCGAAAAGAACCCCGGGAGGGGAGUGAAAUAGAUCCUGAAACCGUGUGCAUACAAACAGUCGGAGCCUCUUCGUGGGGUGACGGCGUACCUUUUGUAUAAUGGGUCAGCGACUUACAUUCAGUAGCGAGGUUAACCGUAUAGGGGAGCCGUAGAGAAAUCGAGUCCGAACAGGGCGACAGUCGCUGGGUGUAGACCCGAAACCAAGUGAUCUACCCAUGGCCAGGAUGAAGGUGCGGUAACACGCCCUGGAGGUCCGAACCCACUAAUGUUGAAAAAUUAGGGGAUGAGCUGUGGGUAGGGGUGAAAGGCUAAACAAACUUGGAA